AGAGAGAUCCACUGACUGGAGGAGGAGGAGGCAUAGAGGUGGAUGGUCCAGCCGAGCUGGAAGGUAUAUCAGGAAAAGCCAUGGGACUAUGUGGAGGUGAGAGGUGGUCAGGCUCCUGAUGUGGGAUCUCGGGCUCUAAGGUUUGGGAUUUUCUUUUAGGGACCUUAACCCAAGACCCAUCUUUCUUGUGAAACUCCAUUCUAUGCAAUGUGCUCUCAUUGUAGUAAU
RNAcentral lists this long non-coding RNA (228 nucleotides) under Phoenix dactylifera (date palm). Its description in RNAcentral is "long non-coding RNA (PDAC_LNC018171)". Lineage: Eukaryota; Viridiplantae; Streptophyta; Magnoliopsida; Arecales; Arecaceae. The record is from RNAcentral.